CCCUUAGAUGUUCUGGGCUACACGCGUGUUACACUGACGAAUUCAACAAGUUAUAUUUUCCUUGCUCGAAGGAGUAUGGGUAAUCUUUUAAAUGUUCGUCGUGAUGGGGAUAGAGCAUUGUAAUUAUUGCUCUUGAACGAGGAAUCCCUAGUAAGUGCAAUUCAUUAGAUUGCGCUGAAUACGUCCCUGUCCUUUGUACACACCGCCCGUCGCUCCUACCGACGAAUUAUUCGAUGAGGAUUCGGGAUGACCUUUGCAUUCGACUUAGUCGUUGCUCUGUGACAAAACUUAUUCGAAUCUCAUUAUUUGAAGGAAGGGGAANUCGUAACA
Molecule: ribosomal RNA, 330 nt
Filed under: uncultured eukaryote
Lineage: Eukaryota
Description: partial 18S ribosomal RNA
Rfam family: Eukaryotic small subunit ribosomal RNA
Source: RNAcentral